This 1044-nucleotide long non-coding RNA is filed under the name Anas platyrhynchos platyrhynchos (common mallard). Its description in RNAcentral is "lncRNA (ENSAPLG00000018613.1)". The record is from RNAcentral. Lineage: Eukaryota; Metazoa; Chordata; Aves; Anseriformes; Anatidae.
AGGAGAAUGACUAAAGCACAUGAGAUACAAAAUGCCUCUACUGGGAAAAAGUAGGAUAGCUCAUAUACUUGUAAACAGUGGAGCAUCUGAAUUGCCACAGUCCAUAUGGAAGUCAGAUGGUCCUGUUGUCUUCAUGUGGUCUAUUUUAGGUAAUGAGGUGAUUCAAUAGGAAAUGUAGAGGCAACCUGACAACAAGGAAAUUACAGGAGACCUCAGUGCUGUGGAGCAAGGGACUAAGAAGUUUCAGAGCUAAAGAUGAAGAUGAUGAUCUGUAUGACACUUGCCUUCAUCACAAUUGCCUGCUCUUGGUGCUAUACUAUAGCACUGACUGUUCAGAUUUGAUGGGACAGAGAGUUAGGUGGGUCAUUUGCCUUUGAGAUCGACUUUCCUCAGAAUUCUACUUUUUUUAAUGAGAAUUUCUUCCUUUGCUUUCUCUGGACAGGUGAAGAAGUCCUCAGGGCUGAAAAGUUGUGUUUAUACAUGUAGUUCUGUCUGAAAGGAAUGUGUUCAAGCAUAAUGAUCUUACUCAGCUAAUAAAUAAUAGGAACAUAUGAAAUUUGCAGUUUACUCCUACACAGAAGGGUCAGCUCUGCAUGCCCCAUGAAAAUCUGAGAUCAGAUAGGCAUGUCUGUUUAGUGUUUUACAGGAUGACAAACAAAAAUCUAAAAAGGAGAAAGACAAUCUGUAAGGUCAAUCUAGAUGAGCCUACAGUGCACGACAGGUGCAAUCCUGGUAGCUGCGUCAUAUCUGGUCUCCCAGAUAUGGUCCUGGUCUCCCAUGCAAACCUUGGCCACACUCUGCCUCCAAAUAUGGCCAUGCAUGACCCCCAUUGUCUUCAAAGCUUGCAUUUGGAAUGAAAUACUGGUAUAGACUCAGAAGCUGUAGUGCAUUCUCUUUGAUAAAGAGAUGACAUUGAGAGUACCUUCAGAGUUCAUCUACCACGCGGUUCAGACAUAUGCAUGAUCCCUGCUAAGUGUCACAUACUUGACACCCUCUUCAAUUUUACGAAAUAAAAGAUAUUCUUGAUUUCUACUAGGAUUUCCC